This 902-nucleotide ribosomal RNA is filed under the name Paraburkholderia tropica. RNAcentral describes it as "bacterial SSU rRNA". It matches the Rfam family "Bacterial small subunit ribosomal RNA", at positions 77 to 975 of the family's 1533-position model. Lineage: Bacteria; Pseudomonadati; Pseudomonadota; Betaproteobacteria; Burkholderiales; Burkholderiaceae. The record is from RNAcentral.
UGCUUGCACCUGGUGGCGAGUGGCGAACGGGUGAGUAAUACAUCGGAACGUGUCCUGUAGUGGGGGAUAGCCCGGCGAAAGCCGGAUUAAUACCGCAUACGAUCUACGGAUGAAAGCGGGGGAUCUUCGGACCUCGCGCUAUAGGGGCGGCCGAUGGCGGAUUAGCUAGUUGGUGAGGUAAAGGCUCACCAAGGCGACGAUCCGUAGCUGGUCUGAGAGGACGACCAGCCACACUGGGACUGAGACACGGCCCAGACUCCUACGGGAGGCAGCAGUGGGGAAUUUUGGACAAUGGGCGAAAGCCUGAUCCAGCAAUGCCGCGUGUGUGAAGAAGGCCUUCGGGUUGUAAAGCACUUUUGUCCGGAAAGAAAUCCUUGAUCCUAAUAUGGUCGGGGGAUGACGGUACCGGAAGAAUAAGCACCGGCUAACUACGUGCCAGCAGCCGCGGUAAUACGUAGGGUGCAAGCGUUAAUCGGAAUUACUGGGCGUAAAGCGUGCGCAGGCGGUGAUGUAAGACCGAUGUGAAAUCCCCGGGCUCAACCUGGGAACUGCAUUGGUGACUGCAUCGCUUGAGUAUGGCAGAGGGGGGUAGAAUUCCACGUGUAGCAGUGAAAUGCGUAGAGAUGUGGAGGAAUACCGAUGGCGAAGGCAGCCCCCUGGGUCAAUACUGACGCUCAUGCACGAAAGCGUGGGGAGCAAACAGGAUUAGAUACCCUGGUAGUCCACGCCCUAAACGAUGUCAACUGGUUGUCGGGUCUUCAUUGACUUGGUAACGUAGCUAACGCGUGAAGUUGACCGCCUGGGGAGUACGGUCGCAAGAUUAAAACUCAAAGGAAUUGACGGGGACCCGCACAAGCGGUGGAUGAUGUGGAUUAAUUCGAUGCAACGCGAAAAACCUUACC